GGCCUGCCCACUGCAGGUUGGGAGUUGAGUGUGGGGACUUUAGUGAAGACUAAGGUCUCUUGGCUCUUAGUGUGGAGGGCACAGCGUGAGGCUGGUUUCACAGAGCAACGACCACCUCCCACUCCCGACAGUGGAGGGUUCACAGGCU
Molecule: signal recognition particle RNA, 148 nt
Filed under: Phaseolus vulgaris (common bean)
Lineage: Eukaryota; Viridiplantae; Streptophyta; Magnoliopsida; Fabales; Fabaceae
Description: SRP RNA Plant_SRP
Rfam family: Plant signal recognition particle RNA
Source: Rfam by way of RNAcentral